This is a long non-coding RNA of Gasterosteus aculeatus aculeatus (three-spined stickleback), 1621 nucleotides long. The record is from Ensembl. Lineage: Eukaryota; Metazoa; Chordata; Actinopteri; Perciformes; Gasterosteidae.
GAAAGUGUGUCCAAACUUUUGACUGGUAAAGUUGCUUGUUUGCAUUUAUUGUGUGCCCCCCCCCUCAUAAGUUGGAGGUUGAGCUUCUAGUCUUUCCAUUUGUCUAGAAGGAAACUCUUUCACUGAUGUCUGCGAGAAUACCAAAGUGCCGAUAUAUAAAUCAUGUGCAGCGAGGCGGACUGGUCCUUUUUUCCUGUGAAGUUUGGAUCCUCCUCCUACGUGCUGCGAAACAACUGUCGGGAAGGACGUAAAGCUGGGAGGAAGCAAGCGGGAAGCACAGAGCAUAAGCGGUGGCGUCUGGUAUGCAGGCUGAUUUCUCCCUUCACUGGCUGCACAGAAGAGGAGGAGGAGGAGGAGGAAGAAUUUGUGUAGUCCUGCUGUGGCGCCAUCCCGCCUGAAGCGAAGGCCCGAGUCCCCGAGUAAGAGACCUGGGAGACGGCGACUUCUUCCCGGCUGAUCCGUCAACUCGUCCCCUGCGUGAGACCUUCCCACGUAGCCACUAGCCUGAGCUGCACUGGUUGCCAUGUUCACUGCGGGGACCUCACACUCUCCGUCUAACGUGCCGAUACUAUGUGCGCUGGGAUUUCCAAACUUUUCCACCUCCUGGGGGCAAAGCUGCUGCAGUGAGUGUAAGAAGCCUGCUGUUACUGACGCACUACGUAAUGUAAAAUGUGCAUCGUCUCACUGCAAGAUUACAAGUUGCGAGUUGAGGGCUUGUUAGUGUCGCUGACUGACGUGUUGCUUUACAGUGAAGUGCAAAAUGCCGAUUCCUCAUUAUCUGGACGGAAUUAGACCUUUGCUUUGCCAGGCGGGUGGAGAAGGACAUUGAGGAAGUGUAUGAUUUUGUGCACAGAAACGAUCUUUCGGUCGGCAUUUUUAGCAUUUGGACUCGGGCUUCCCACAAUCUUGGCAAGUUGAAUCUGUGUCAUCCUCCUACACUUAAAAUACACGCUCGCAAGAGCAAAUGUGGCCCUUCGUGGCCGAAGGAACUUUUGUUUCAAGAUCUUAUUUGAUGCUAUAACUUUUUUGUUUUGUGUAUAUUGUGUCUCAGGGUUUGUUUUGUUUUUUUGUGUAUUCAUUCAAAGUAGAGUUCCUUCUGCUAACUUCUUUUCUUUUGAAUGUACCAUUUUGUGCUAAACCGUUUAACAUGGAUCUGUUAUUUUAGAUGAUUGUUUUGUCAAGUGUAAAAGUAUCUGUACGUUUAAUGGCAUCGGUUGUAUUUAUACAUAUGUAAUAUUGCCAAAACCCAAAUGGCUAAUCUUGGCCAUGAUGGAUUUAAAUAACAAACUGUGUCCAAAGUAGUAAGAAGUUCUCGCUAUAUCAUUUUUUUAUUGUAUAUUUCAGGAUUGUUAACAGAAGUCUUUUUUGUUAAUAGUUUGUAUUUGCUUUGUAACACAUUUGUAGACGCCUUUGAUUUGCACAUUUUGUACGAACGAAAACUCUUAAUGGUCUUAAUUUUGUACCUUUUGUCUUAACCCAGCCGGGGUAGUGUGAAUAAUCAGUGCAGCAAAUGAUCAAUUUGUUCCUCUUUGAACAAUCCUCAUUUGCCCUGCAGCUUUCCAAUAUAUCAAAUACACUGUUAUAUUAAGCUAUUACUGAUAAACCAUGUUCUACAGUUCAC